AAAUUGAAGAGUUUGAUCAUGGCUCAGAUUGAACGCUGGCGGCAGGCCUAACACAUGCAAGUCGAACGGUAACAGGAAGAAGCUUGCUUCUUUGCUGACGAGUGGCGGACGGGUGAGUAAUGUCUGGGAAACUGCCUGAUGGAGGGGGAUAACUACUGGAAACGGUAGCUAAUACCGCAUAACGUCGCAAGACCAAAGAGGGGGACCUUCGGGCCUCUUGCCAUCGGAUGUGCCCAGAUGGGAUUAGCUAGUAGGUGGGGUAACGGCUCACCUAGGCGACGAUCCCUAGCUGGUCUGAGAGGAUGACCAGCCACACUGGAACUG
RNAcentral lists this ribosomal RNA (324 nucleotides) under Escherichia coli. RNAcentral describes it as "bacterial SSU rRNA". It matches the Rfam family "Bacterial small subunit ribosomal RNA", at positions 1 to 321 of the family's 1533-position model. Lineage: Bacteria; Pseudomonadati; Pseudomonadota; Gammaproteobacteria; Enterobacterales; Enterobacteriaceae. The record is from RNAcentral.